CGCGAAGAACCUUACCUGGUCUUGACAUCCACGGAACUUUCCAGAGAUGGAUUGGUGCCUUCGGGAACCGUGAGACAGGUGCUGCAUGGCUGUCGUCAGCUCGUGUCGUGAGAUGUUGGGUUAAGUCCCGCAACUAGCGCAACCCUUGUCCUUAAUUGCCAGCACGUAAUGGUGGGAACUCUAAGGAGACCGCCGGUGACAAACCGGAGGAAGGUGGGGAUGACAUCAAGUCAUCAUGGCCCUUACGACCAGGGCUACACACGUACUACAAUGGUGGGGACAGAGGGCUGCAAACCCGCGAGGGGAACGCGGUGUGUACAAGGCCCGGGAACGCGGUGUGUACAAGGCCCGGGAACGUGUAGCUCUCGGUAAGGUUCUUCGCG
Molecule: ribosomal RNA, 383 nt
Filed under: uncultured bacterium
Lineage: Bacteria
Description: bacterial SSU rRNA
Rfam family: Bacterial small subunit ribosomal RNA
Source: RNAcentral